Amphiprion ocellaris (clown anemonefish) is the source of this 603-nucleotide long non-coding RNA. The record is from Ensembl. Lineage: Eukaryota; Metazoa; Chordata; Actinopteri; Pomacentridae.
AGGGAUUUCAAUCAAAAUGCUGUUUGUGAAGAGGCUUUAACUGUUUUAUUUCUCACUUAAUAACUCAUCUAUUUGGUUAUUAGUACAAUUAAAGAAAGGCACUGCUGGGAUUCGAACCCAGGAUCUCCUGUUUACAAGACAGGCGCUUUAACCAACUAAGCCACAGCACCACAGCACUGUACUUCAACACUCCAGUUUUGCAGGACUUUCGUCCCUAAAGGUGUUUCUGUGAAUGAACCUCAAGUAGAAUCGAGGUUCAGUGUAAACAACAACAGUCAACACCAGUUUUUGAAAAGGAAAUAAAGUCAGAGCAACAAAAUCACGUAAAGAACCGACCGUCAGCUUCAUCACUUCUGUUUUACCAGAAAUCCACCUGAGACCCGAGGUUCCUCCACUGAGCAGCACUUCCGUCAGGACGGAUCGGCCGGCGUGAGGACGAACGUAAUUGGACCGACAAGUGACACAUAUGUGGAAACCAGAAGAUGAUGGCGGAGACGACUCGGAUCAUGUGACCUGCACCUCACAUGCCUCCUCCAAGUACCCUCAAGCCAGAGACCAGAAAUGCAACGAUGAAGCUGCCAAAUGAGAAUUCCUUCGUUCAUC